GUCGAACGAGUUCUGAUUAUUGAAAGGUGCUUGCAUCUUGAUUUAAUUUUGAACGAGUGGCGGACGGGUGAGUAACACGUGGGUAACCUGCCCUUAAGUGGGGGAUAACAUUUGGAAACAGAUGCUAAUACCGCAUAAAUCCAAGAACCGCAUGGUUCUUGGCUGAAAGAUGGCGUAAGCUAUCGCUUUUGGAUGGACCCGCGGCGUAUUAGCUAGUUGGUGAGGUAACGGCUCACCAAGGCAAUGAUACGUAGCCGAACUGAGAGGUUGAUCGGCCACAUUGGGACUGAGACACGGCCCAAACUCCUACGGGAGGCAGCAGUAGGGAAUCUUCCACAAUGGACGCAAGUCUGAUGGAGCAACGCCGCGUGAGUGAAGAAGGCUUUCGGGUCGUAAAACUCUGUUGUUGGAGAAGAAUGGUCGGCAGAGUAACUGUUGUCGGCGUGACGGUAUCCAACCAGAAAGCCACGGCUAACUACGUGCCAGCAGCCGCGGUAAUACGUAGGUGGCAAGCGUUAUCCGGAUUUAUUGGGCGUAAAGCGAGCGCAGGCGGUUUUUUAAGUCUGAUGUGAAAGCCCUCGGCUUAACCGAGGAAGUGCAUCGGAAACUGGGAAACUUGAGUGCAGAAGAGGACAGUGGAACUCCAUGUGUAGCGGUGAAAUGCGUAGAUAUAUGGAAGAACACCAGUGGCGAAGGCGGCUGUCUGGUCUGUAACUGACGCUGAGGCUCGAAAGCAUGGGUAGCGAACAGGAUUAGAUACCCUGGUAGUCCAUGCCGUAAACGAUGAAUGCUAGGUGUUGGAGGGUUUCCGCCCUUCAGUGCCGCAGCUAACGCAUU
This 837-nucleotide ribosomal RNA is filed under the name Lacticaseibacillus rhamnosus. RNAcentral's name for it is "bacterial SSU rRNA". It matches the Rfam family "Bacterial small subunit ribosomal RNA", at positions 61 to 861 of the family's 1533-position model. Lineage: Bacteria; Bacillati; Bacillota; Bacilli; Lactobacillales; Lactobacillaceae. The record is from RNAcentral.